AGGGGCUGGCGACUUGGGCAGCCUUGGGGAGGGGAGGUGGCAUCCUCUGGCCAUUUUCAGCUCGGGUGGAUUUAAGUUUUAGACUCUGUAACCUGGAGGGG
RNAcentral lists this long non-coding RNA (101 nucleotides) under Saimiri boliviensis boliviensis (Bolivian squirrel monkey). Its description in RNAcentral is "GNAS antisense RNA 1 conserved region 1 (ENSSBOG00000005186.1)". It matches the Rfam family "GNAS antisense RNA 1 conserved region 1". Lineage: Eukaryota; Metazoa; Chordata; Mammalia; Primates; Cebidae. The record is from RNAcentral.